Talpa occidentalis (Iberian mole) is the source of this 2287-nucleotide long non-coding RNA. RefSeq lists it as uncharacterized. Lineage: Eukaryota; Metazoa; Chordata; Mammalia; Eulipotyphla; Talpidae. The record is from RefSeq and is a predicted model, not a curated record. The transcript has 8 exons.
GCAUCUGAGCUGUACCCCUCUGUUGCACCCCUCUCCCAUCUGCUGUGAAUGUUGAAAGCUAAUGAUUCACAGCUGCUUCUUAUCCAGAGACCUGCCCUUGACCAACAGCAGCUGCCUCUCCAGGAAAUGCCUGGGAAACUAUGCCUUCCCCAGUCCCAAACCAGAGACUGGUUGAUACAGGGAUGUAAAAUAUUGACCCCUUACCUCAAGUUAGGAUAUAGCCUGGUUACCUUACAUCUUUCCCAUGGGAUUGGCCUUAAGUCAAAUAUCGGAGAUGAUUUACUUGUUUAGAGUCUUCCUUCCUCUACCUUUUGCCUUCAGAUUAAUAGAACUUUAUUCUGAGAUCACCCUUUCUAUAAAACACUUUGCAAAACAAUCUCUUUCCUUGCUCAGCUUCUAGAGAAUCUGUUAGCAGAGAUCAUGAGAAUAGCCUUGGACUGAACCUAAGACCACCUGCUUUCAAGCCCUGGUCCACUGAUGAGAAACUAGGAGUCAUCAGCAAGGAUCUCAACCUCACAGGGAUAAAACUACAGAAGGAUUUCUCCUGAGACCACACCUUCUGAGACCACAUUACUUUCAAGGACCCUGAAGGUGGGGGACUCUGGAAGAGGAGCUAAAGCAGGGCAGGAGCCAGCAUGGGACCCGCGCUGUUUCGGACCUCAGAAGAAGGAGGAUCCAGCGGCCAACCUUCUAAAAAAGGAGAGGAGCUGAAAAGCUUUGUAGAGAAGCCAAAGAGUUUCGCAGAGGCCAGGCCGGGCCGGCUGCACCUGCCUCGGCCUGCUUCUGACACAGCCUGCAAAGAGCACCAAAGACCAGGGGCCUGGUGUCUCAAAGAGCUGCUUGUUCUUGGUGUGGGCCAACAACUCACAAAGAACUGUUAGAACAGUAUUUCUGACACGGCCACCUCCUGGUGACCUGUGCUGAUAGGCAGUACUGGCCAGCGCUACCCAGAGCUGUCGAUGGGUGACUGGAACUCUGUGUCUGAGUCUCCUUUGAGAGCUGAUAAUUGGCACACCUCCUGGUGCUGCUGCUUCUGGUGCUGUCCAUCCUGACCUUCAGACUGUUGCUGGGGCUGCUGGGGUGUCAUCUCGGUGGCCCCACCUGCAAGAACCUCCAGCUGUGAUGAUUUGGAUCCUGGUCUGCUUCUUGCUCCAGGCCCUGCUUGGCAUGAUGGCACCAUGGAUGAGCGGCCUUUUGUUUGGGAGUCUGGACACUCUGGACAGCAUCUGGGAUGCUGGCAUAUCAUGGAUUAAAUUUUCGGUGAUGUUGGAUAUGCUUUCUUACUUCUGGAAAAGCUUUGCAGGAGAUGUCCAGACCUGGGAGGGAAGAAUCAGACUGAAAUCUGUGAACUGCCCUAAGUCAAUCACAUGAAGAGACACAGGGUUCGAAGGCAGCCACCUGCAAGCCAAGUAGAGAGGCCUGCAUAGGCCUCUCCCUCACAGCCCUCUGAAGAAACCAGUCGUCCCAACACCUUAAUCCUAGACUUCUAGCCUCUGGAACUGCGAGACAAUGGAUCUCUGUUGUUUCAGUUGCUGUUUAUGGACCUUUUCUCCAAAGACCCCUGAACAGCUUACUUUAUUUCCCAUACAGUGUGACAUUCCUCUAUUUAACAAAUUUUGAAAAUUUCACAUGUGCAACAAGGAAAAAUAUGCCUCUCCUACGCCAUCCACAGAGAUAUCUCCAUCCUGCAACUCAGAUACCAAUAAACGACACAUCUGUGGCCAAAGUUCGAUGUUCACUCCCUGCAUUGAAUGAACCUGAGAGCAAAUGCUCCUUCAGAGGAGUCUGACCGCAGAAAACUCUGGAACAUCCAGACUCUGGAAAGGACUAACAGGAUUUAUAUGUACUGAUAGGAAAGGGCCACUCAGCACCUGGUGAUAACACCACAUUCAAUCAAGAGAAAUUAAAUUCUAACAGGAUUAAAGGAGUCAGCAGUUAAUACAUAGGAGCAAGAUUUCCCCCAAGCCGACAGGCUCAUUGAAAGUCUAUCUUCUAUGGAGGAAACUGCUAAGAACAUGACAUAAUGCAUUAAGGAUGGAGGCAGCUUAAAAUAUGUGCAGAAAUUCAGCCUUUUCAUUCCGGUAUGGCAACACAGAUUAGGUCUGAAUCUCCUAAGGUUUAUUGCCCUAUUUUCUAGCAGUGAAUGCAAAAACAUGCAUUAUUAUAGCUUUGUGGAACCAACCCAAAUAAACUAAAAUUAUAAAUCAAGUUUGUAGUGUGACUAUCAUACACACACACACUCUCACGCACGUAUACACACAAAUACACAUACGCAUUAAAACAACAA